GACGAACGCUGGCGGCGUGCCUAAUACAUGCAAGUUGAGCGAUGAAGCUUGGUGCUUGCACCAAUUUGAAGAGCAGCGAACGGGUGAGUAACGCGUGGGGAAUCUGCCUUUGAGCGGGGGACAACAUUUGGAAACGAAUGCUAAUACCGCAUAACAACUUUAAACAUAAGUUUUAAGUUUGAAAGAUGCAAUUGCAUCACUCAAAGAUGAUCCCGCGUUGUAUUAGCUAGUUGGUGAGGUAAAGGCUCACCAAGGCGAUGAUACAUAGCCGACCUGAGAGGGUGAUCGGCCACAAUUGGAAUGAGACACGGGCCAAACUCCUACGGGAGGCAGCAGGAGGGAAUCUUCGGCAAUGGACGAAAGUCUGAACGAGGAACGCCGCGUGAGUGAAGAAGGUUUUCGGAUCGUAAAACUCUGUUGGUAGAGAAGAACGAUGGUGAGAGUGGAAAGCUCAUCAAGUGACGGUAACUACCCAGAAAGGGACGGCUAACUACGUG
RNAcentral lists this ribosomal RNA (497 nucleotides) under uncultured bacterium. Its description in RNAcentral is "partial 16S ribosomal RNA". It matches the Rfam family "Bacterial small subunit ribosomal RNA", at positions 28 to 507 of the family's 1533-position model. The record is from RNAcentral.